CACACGUAUACAUAUAUACACACAUCUACACUGUAUUGAUAUGUUGAUAUAUUGAUGUUAUGAAUUAUUUUAAAGAGUAUUCUAUUGAUGUAGAGGAUAAUAUGAAAUUCAAUAUUUUCUGGCACUCUUUUUAAAUGAUACUUAGGCCAUCUGAUGAAAACAGAGCUCAGUAAAGAUUUCUUAUUGAUAAAUCAACAUUACAAAUGAAGACUAGUUUCAUUGCCAUGAUCAGUAAAUUAAGGGUCAUAAAUUAACUGUUGAGUUAUUUUCUUUGCACUAUUAAGCCUUCCACUCAAUCUUUCUACAGUCUUUCUUAUUUAGCAAACGGUGUUACUUGAUAGAAACCUCUGCUGUGAUUUUGUUUUUUGAAAUUUAAUAAGAAAGCUAUAUAAUACAAUUCUCGGGGGAAAACAAGCAAGGUAGGUUUUUCACGGUAACCUCCAAGCAGAGAAAUGGUUUCAGUGCGCAGUCCAGUGAAUUUCCUCCAUAGAGUGUGCUGGAAGAAGUCACCUGGAAGUGAUCACCAGAGUGAUAUUCAGUUUGACUCUCAUUGGUUUGUAUAUAAUUGAUUAUAUAUAAAAACAAAUGCCAGGGUGAGGGUGGGACUAGAGUCCCCCUUUCAGGCUCCUCCCCUUGCAUUUCCAUCUGGUCUUGCAGCAAGUUAACCACGGUCCUAUCUUCAGGUUCAAUUACUCCCUUUAAAAAAUAGGUUUUAACACCUAUGUAUCUCUCAACAUUAUAUUGUUUUAUUUUGAAAAAUUGAAUAAUAACCACACACCUAGCUUUGGAAGCAAGAGGCUUCAUGGCCAGGAUCAGAUAAAUGAUCCUCUUAGAGUGGGUGGGACCUCAGCAUCCCAGAGCGUGUGGAAGAGUGCCUGCCAGGAAGCCACCAGACAAGGUCCUAAGUACAUGCAUGGAAACACUGGGCACGAUGCUGACUGUGGCAUGGGCCAAAAAGUGACAUGGGGCAGAACUUCAGUGGGAGGAGGGGUGCUCUGUACGUUCAGCUUCUAAGCCCACUGUGGCCUUCCUCUUAGGGUUUCACAGAGCCAAGCAGAAAAGGAGCACAGGUGACCUUGGCAGGAAGGCAUGCAUGGGAGAGCAGGUCUGCACUCUGGGACACCAGCCUCAACAGAAUACGAGUUUUGAAUUUUUGAAUUGCUGUUAAAACUUUCAUCAUGAACACUGAAGUGAGUGAAAAGAGACUUUUGCAGUCAUUUUUUUGCUGGCUGCAGAUGACAGUGACACCCUGGGAGUUGAGAAAUGCUUGUAAGAUGGAAGGAGGCUGUGUCCCUGAAUGAUCACCUGGAAGAGAGCCACCUUAGCCAAUGAAACUCCUGCUAUGAAUGUUUGCUGAGCAAGAAAUAUACUUACUGCUUUAUAUGCCUUUGAAGCUAUAGGUUCAUAUUGUUACCACAAUUUAAAGUGCUAUAAUAAAAAGAGUUCAGGAAGCAGGCACAUGGAAGCAAUAAGAGCAACAAACAUUUACACAGUUCUCAGGUCCCUGGACCAUGAAGGGCCACAUCCAAGGAGCUACCCCAGGAGGCCUCUCAUUUGCAUUUGUCCCCGCUAAUGCAGGACAGAGAUCAUGGAAGUUGGGCCCGACUGGAUGAGAUUUGGGGGUCUUUGGAAGUGGAGAAUGUGUUUGCCCUGGGGAAGAGAGGUGAUGUCUAGGAGACCUCUUCACUCAGGGCAAGCUCUAUGACCUGCUUUGACUCCAGAAUGUGGUAGAAGUGGCAUCACAUAAAUUGCAGAGCCUAGGCUUCAAGAGACCUUGCAACUUGCCUCUCACUGACUUGAAGUGCUCCCAUCAGAGCAUCUUGUAAGGAGCAGGUGGAGCAUGUGGACAAGCCAUCCCCACCAGCCCCUGAGACAUGUGAGAGAGGCCAGAACAGGCCAUCCGGACCCCACUGUGCUGGUGGAUGAGACAGCAGAAGGAAUAUCAACCUACCAACAGAAUCCUGAGAAAUGCUCACUCUUACUUCAAGCUGCUGCAUUUUGAUGUUAUGAAACCAUAAAUAACUUAUGAAGUCAUCUUUGCUGACUUAAAGUUUUCCAUAACUUUAUUAUAACAUAUCAAAAUUAUGAAAAAUGUGAAAAGUAGAAAACUGAUGAAUUUUGCUUCUUCAUAUGGUCUUUAAGAAUCUCAAAGGCACUGAAGUUUUUUAUCUUUUCUGUCUUAGAAUAAAAAACCUUGAAUGAAAAUCUGCUUCUUGGAAAAGCAGCAAGGUUUAUGCAGAGGCAAUCUGGUAUUUGUGUGCACUGGCAGCUGAUCAUACCCAGCAUGCACGCACUCUCAGGGCAGAGUCUGAUGCCCCACAUAAUGGGGCAUGGUAAGGACUCCCAUGUCCUUGAGAUAAAAUGAUAAGGAAAAUACACACUGCUAUUAGAAUAACAGGCCCAGCUUCUGCACAUUUUAAUUCCCAAAGUUUUCAUGAAAGACAAUGAUUUUUUGGUACCAUGUUUAACUCUACAAGAAUCAGUAGUGAAAACUAAAAAUGAUACUUUGUGAAAGUUCAUUAAUUUUGUUUUCAGCCAGUGGUGGCCUUGGUCAGAUAGAAUCAAAUCUAUGAUACUUUUUAUCAGAAAUGCUUAUACUGUGUACAAACCCAAAGUGAUGGCUUUCAAAGAUUGAAUUUGAUUAUUUUCUGUAUGGUGCAGAUGAAAAAUUACUACACAGGAGAAGGUGGGUUGGAGGUGCUCACGAGUAACCAGGAAACAGUCUGAAGUUUUUCUGAUACUUCUCCUUGGUCCAACCAAAUGUGAGAUAUAAACACAAACUUGGGAUUCCGUUCUUAUGUUUUGGUUGUUUCAGUCUUUACAGAUGUAUCGAAAGGCUGUCCAAAAAUGUCUGACUUCUGUAGUGUGCCUUCGUAGCACUAGAGGGUUCUGCAGCUGUGAAACUGAAGGCAUUGGCAAGAAGCCCUCCAUCUUCAAACCACUUUCUGCUAAGGUGUGGCUCUAUAAAACCACUAUGAGCUGGGCUUCACUGAGACUGAGUUGUUUCAGUAGGAUCUUCCGGAAAAACAUGUUCCCUCCUUUACCUGGGUUGUCAUUCUGAGAACAAUCACACCUCCAAUUUUGGCUUACUAAGCAAUAGCGUUUUAAUGAUUUUAAGCCAGGAUUUGCUCCUCCUUUCCUCAGUAUGAGAGCUUAACCACUGGAGGAACCAAGAAUUCAUGCUGGUUGGGUUCUGAUUCCACUUUAACUUACUGUAUAGCCUCAUCCCUUGUUUUUCUGGAGAUUCUCUUUUUCUGCUUCACUGAUUUAUAUUUACAUUAAAAUCAAAUGAGGCCAUGUUUCUGAAAUCACAUUGUCCCUACAUGGUCAUUACAAUGAGUCUGUAAUGUGACUGAAAGACAGCCAUGGAUACAGGUAGAGGAUAUCAGGCAAUUGAAUGCUCAUCAAGCAUUCAAUUCAGGGCAAAUGGCAUAAGGUAUGCAGUUGGCCUCUUCUGAUAUCUGUGUCUUAAUCCUUUCUUUAGCCUCUGUUUUCUGGACCAAGGCUAAGAUAUUUUCUGGGCACAGUGGCUCAUGCCUAUAAUCCCAGCACUCUGGGAGGCCAAGGUGGGAGGAUUUCUUCAGCCC
This 3587-nucleotide long non-coding RNA is filed under the name Homo sapiens (human). Its description in RNAcentral is "HSALNT0346786". The record is from RNAcentral. Lineage: Eukaryota; Metazoa; Chordata; Mammalia; Primates; Hominidae.